RNAcentral lists this ribosomal RNA (806 nucleotides) under Didymella pinodella. RNAcentral describes it as "eukaryotic LSU rRNA". It matches the Rfam family "Eukaryotic large subunit ribosomal RNA", at positions 73 to 899 of the family's 3401-position model. The record is from RNAcentral. Lineage: Eukaryota; Fungi; Ascomycota; Dothideomycetes; Pleosporales; Didymellaceae.
AUGCCCUAGUAACGGCGAGUGAAGCGGCAACAGCUCAAAUUUGAAAUCUGGCGUCUUCGGCGUCCGAGUUGUAAUUUGCAGAGGGCGCUUUGGCAUUGGCAGCGGUCCAAGUUCCUUGGAACAGGACGUCACAGAGGGUGAGAAUCCCGUACGUGGUCGCUAGCCUUUACCGUGUAAAGCCCCUUCGACGAGUCGAGUUGUUUGGGAAUGCAGCUCUAAAUGGGAGGUAAAUUUCUUCUAAAGCUAAAUACUGGCCAGAGACCGAUAGCGCACAAGUAGAGUGAUCGAAAGAUGAAAAGCACUUUGGAAAGAGAGUUAAAAAGCACGUGAAAUUGUUGAAAGGGAAGCGCUUGCAGCCAGACUUGCCUGUAGUUGCUCAUCCGGGUUUCUACCCGGUGCACUCUUCUAUGGGCAGGCCAGCAUCAGUUUGGGCGGUUGGAUAAAGGUCUCUGUCAUGUACCUCUCUUCGGGGAGAACUUAUAGGGGAGACGUCAUGCAACCAGCCUGGACUGAGGUCCGCGCAUCUGCUAGGAUGCUGGCGUAAUGGCUGUAAGCGGCCCGUCUUGAAACACGGACCAAGGAGUCUAACAUCUAUGCGAGUGUUUGGGUGUCAAGCCCGAGCGCGUAAUGAAAGUGAACGGAGGUGGGAACCUUUCGGGGUGCACCAUCGACCGAUCCUGAUGUCUUCGGAUGGAUUUGAGUAAGAGCAUAGCUGUUGGGACCCGAAAGAUGGUGAACUAUGCUUGAAUAGGGUGAAGCCAGAGGAAACUCUGGUGGAGGCUCGCAGCGGUUCUGACGUGCAAAUC